GAAAUCGUCAUACUAGGUUUCCCCUCUGUAUCCUUAAAAUCAGACCUACGAUGGCAGCUCCCAAGACAGGAAUCAGGAUCAUCAUUGUGAGAACCACAGCAGGC
Molecule: long non-coding RNA, 104 nt
Filed under: Callithrix jacchus (white-tufted-ear marmoset)
Lineage: Eukaryota; Metazoa; Chordata; Mammalia; Primates; Cebidae
Description: lncRNA (ENSCJAG00000071277.1)
Source: RNAcentral